UACGUAGGGUGCAAGCGUUAAUCGGAAUUACUGGGCGUAAAGCGUGCGCAGGCGGUUUUGUAAGUUUGUCGUGAAAGCCCCGGGCUCAACCUGGGAAUUGCGUUGGAGACUGCAAGGCUAGAAUCUGGCAGAGGGGGGUAGAAUUCCACGUGUAGCAGUGAAAUGCGUAGAGAUGUGGAGGAACACCGAUGGCGAAGGCGGCCCCCUGGGUCAAGAUUGACGCUCAUGCACGAAAGCGUGGGGAGCAAACAGG
RNAcentral lists this ribosomal RNA (253 nucleotides) under uncultured bacterium. Its description in RNAcentral is "partial 16S ribosomal RNA". It matches the Rfam family "Bacterial small subunit ribosomal RNA", at positions 524 to 776 of the family's 1533-position model. The record is from RNAcentral.